Long non-coding RNA from Arachis ipaensis, 629 nucleotides. RefSeq lists it as uncharacterized. The record is from RefSeq and is a predicted model, not a curated record. NCBI's taxonomy places the organism in Eukaryota, Viridiplantae, Streptophyta, Magnoliopsida, Fabales, Fabaceae.
AAUUAGGAAAGCUAAAAAUGCAAAACUAAUAUCAAAAUAGGAUAGAGCUCGUCGAAACGAGAAUUUUGAUACAAAUUUCAAAAAUUUAGCCCAAAAUCGGACCGGAAAGGCCGAACCGGUUGAACCGGGGCCCAAACUGGGCCCGUGGGUCCAACCGGACCCAAACAUUUAAAUGAAACAGCAGCUCUCUUCUUCCUCAUUAGCUGCUGGACGCCAUAACAGAAAGGGAGAGGGAAGAAGAACCUUAACCCUCACCAUUCCUUCCAACUACCAUAACUUCCUCAUCCGGGCUCCGAUCACCGCACCGUUCGCGGCCACGCGCUCAGCGUGUCGAGCUCUACCUUCCUAUUCGAACAAUUCCACUGGUUCAAGUUAGUUUCCGGAACUUGUGGGCUCAAGCUAUUGAGCAUAUGGGUAUGGUGUAGGUUAAGUGGGUGUUUAUGCAUUGGAAUUGAAUUGGGAUCACUUGGAGGUUUGUUGGUGACCAAGGCUUGAUUUGGGGCUGUUUGAUUGAGCUUGGAGGGACUGUAAUUUUGCAUUGUGAGGCUGCCUUGGGUGAAUUAAGUGAUCGGCCAAGAUGCAGGUCAAGAGGCUCCUCGCUAGGCGUCUGGAUCCUGGAAAGCGAAGUA